CGGGAAAUGGAAUGUGUAACAUUCCCGACAGGUACAGGAGCGUAGGAAAAUAUAACUAUUCAGUCAACAAACACUCUGCUACAGCUGGUAAAUAUAGUGAUGGGCCUGUCAAAGCGAGUGUCUUUGUGGUCGGUGGAAGAAGUGUUGGAGUGGGUGCAGGACCAGCACCCAACCCACAUGGGCACGCUCCAUAAAGCCAUAAUCAAGCACGCCAUAUCAGGCCGUGCAUUGCUGAGAUUAAAGGAUCAUCACCUGGAGCUGCUCGGGGUGGAGGCUGAGGACCAGCAGCAGAAAAUCUGGCAGGACCUCCUCCUCCUCAGAGUUCAAGAAGAAAUCAAUGAACUCAAUGACAUCUGCUCCGAGUGUUUUUCUUCAUAGCUGGAAAAUAAAUGCGGCUUCCUUUUUCAUUUCCCAUCCAUUGAUUCAACUGUGUGAAGGAGGGAGAAAAGUGGGAGUGAUGGAAAUAACAAGAGAAGGUGAAAGAGAAAGAAGAAUCAAUGAAGAGAGAAAGAAACCCAUUUCCUGUGUGAAAUCUGACCUGUGCAGAUGGAUGAGAUUAGUUUUUGUUGGAGCGUCUUUUCCUGAGUCCUGCUGUCCAUUAGUCUCCUUCUGCUAUCUUUCUCUAUAGUGAGUUUACAUCCUGUCAGUGUAUCAUGAAAUAUCUUUAGCUAUGUUAAUUAAAACCACUUUGGUCAAGACUGUAGUAUCCUAAAAAAAUGUUUUUACCAAAAGAGCACUUGAUUAACAAAUUUCAAAAUAUCAGGUUGAUAAAUUAAGUGUGAGUUAUGUAUAUGGAUGACACCUACCAAUUAAACUAAGUCAAACCACAAGAAAACUUUAUGUAUUGUGGGCAUGUGAUAAUUUGUCUAAUUAAAUCAAAACAAGGCCCAAUAAUAAUCAAUUAAUAAUAAACAAGGUUCUAAAUGUAGUAGAUCCUGUGUCUGCUACAGGGCAUACAGGGAAUCACAGGAAGAUGCAAAAAAUCCAACAGUCUGAAUAGCUGCAUUUCCAUUUAAGUAUUUUUAUCUGUUGAAUACAAACGUCCAACAGCUGUCUGCUGUUCUGAGUCACACACAUGCACUUAAAUGUUUUAUUGUAAAAUCCAGCUGCUCUCUUUGAAAUGCCCGUCCUUGUAUUUUAGACUGAUAAACCACUGUUUGUCUAAAGUGAAUAAUGAAGAGAGUUUAAAAAAAUACUCUAAUUUCUCUGGAUUUUGAUGCAGUUUUGUUUUUGAUACAUGUACUUGUUAAUGUGAUUAAUCCUGUUUAACCGGUCGCAGCUAACAACUACAACUUGUAAAUGUCUUAAAUGCAAGUGGUCCUACAACUUUCAUAUUAUAUAAUGCCCUAUUUCAUUUCUUUGGGUAUUCUAGGCAUCAACUCCCCUCCACAUUUCCAUCACAUACAGUAAAACGUCUUGUCUAUUUCUGAACUUGUUUUUAUGGCAAUGCUACAGCAUGUGCUGCUUUGAGAACACAAAUCCUGCCACGUAUGUGUCAUCUUUCUGCUUUAACAGUUCCUGCCUCAUGCCUCUCAUACACAUCCAGUGUUCCAUUGCAACGCUUUUUUUUUUUACUGAAGAAGCUUCAGAGACUGCUGUUAAAGAUCAAGGACUAUUAAAAUUAAACAGUAAUAAAAAUAAAACAUAUUACUCAUAUUGACUCCAAAGACAGCAAGUGUGGUAAUGAAAAGCGCAAUAAAGAAAUCUAAUCAAACUACGUCCCGUCUGUGGCUUCAAUCACAGAAAGUUGCACUCCCUUUUACACUUUCUCACAGAGUGACACUUGCAAAUAUCUUUAGCUACACCAGUUUUAAGAAAACAAAGAUGGUGAUUUUGAGAUGUUGUGAGGCAUUCAGGUGACCAGGUUUAAACCCAGCUCGGAGAUCUACCUUAUUCUAUACCGUCUCCAUCAUAUACUGCAUAGUAACAGCUUGUUCCAGCUCAUGAAAUAAGCUGUCUGAUGUUUACACUGAAUAAAAUACUCAAAC
Molecule: RNA transcript, 1988 nt
Organism: Anoplopoma fimbria (sablefish)
Lineage: Eukaryota; Metazoa; Chordata; Actinopteri; Perciformes; Anoplopomatidae
Gene name: sterile alpha motif domain-containing protein 12-like
Exons: 4
Source: RefSeq, a predicted model, not a curated record